Molecule: ribosomal RNA, 255 nt
Filed under: uncultured bacterium
Lineage: Bacteria
Description: partial 16S ribosomal RNA
Rfam family: Bacterial small subunit ribosomal RNA
Source: RNAcentral
CGGACGGGUGAGUAACGCGUGGAUAACCUGCCGUAUACCGGGGGAUAACACUUAGAAAUAGGUGCUAAUACCGCAUAAGCGCACAGCUUCGCAUGAAGCAGUGUGAAAAACUCCGGUGGUAUACGAUGGAUCCGCGUCUGAUUAGCUGGUUGGCGGGGUAACAGCCCACCAAGGCGACGAUCAGUAGCCGGCCUGAGAGGGUGAACGGCCACAUUGGGACUGAGACACGGCCCAAACUCCUACGGAAGGCAGCAG